Molecule: ribosomal RNA, 247 nt
Filed under: uncultured bacterium
Lineage: Bacteria
Description: partial 16S ribosomal RNA
Rfam family: Bacterial small subunit ribosomal RNA
Source: RNAcentral
ACACGUAAGGGGCAAGCGUUGUUCGGAAUUAUUGGGCGUAAAGGGUACGUAGGCGGUUUGGUAAGCCCGGCGUGAAAUCCUGCAGCUUAACUGUAGAGCUGCGCUGGGAACUGCGAAACUUGAGUCAUGGAAGGGGAGUUAGAAUUCCAGGUGUAGGGGUGAAAUCUGUAGAUAUCUGGAAGAAUACCGGUGGCGAAGGCGAACUCCUGGCAAUGAACUGACGCUGAGGCGCGAAAGCGUGGGUAGC